AGAGAGAGAAUCCUUUCUGCCUGUCACUGAGGUGCUCUCCUCCUCCACUGCUCCUGAAUCAGUAUGUAAAAGCAUGAGAUGCUUUGUGUAAUACCUGAACCCGGACAUAGACAACGACAUCCACGGGGAAUGACGAAUAUGAAGAGGUCGAGGACGACACCAAAGAGACCUGAGACUCCUCCAGUGGAUCUACAGAGUCGAAAUGUCCGACGUCCUCCUCAGAAGAAGAGGUGGACAGGUCAUCACGGCGACCGUCAUCAGGCUGGAAGGGAAUGCUGGGUGAGAAGACUUCAGGUGUGCCAGGUGCACUGAACACUGAGCAUGAUGGGCAAUGGGGAGCAUGAUCAUCAAUGCUGACAGACAACAAGUCCACCUCUGUCUCCUCUGGGAACUUUAACAGCCAGUGAGAGUCAACAGUUAGAGAAUUUAUCUACACAUCUCAGUCUAUCUAUCUGUAUAUCUACUAUCUAAUGAUUUUUAGGAAUUUUGUCAAGUCUGUUUUACUGAUCCAGCUGUAAUUUACAGAUCUUUCCAUAAGGUUUCACCUGGUAGUAUAUGCUGAGCCAAUUGUUUCUUACCUAGCAUAAUAAAUUAAAAGCUGUCUAAAAAACUUGAAUAACCUGUAUAUAUGCACUAAAACGCAUCUAUCUAUUAUAUCCAAGUGUCAACCAGGGCUGCAACAAAUAAAUGAUUGCUUUAAAAAACAGCACAACAAGGAGUCCACUACAGCACUAAGCCAAG
Trichomycterus rosablanca is the source of this 741-nucleotide long non-coding RNA. RefSeq lists it as uncharacterized. NCBI's taxonomy places the organism in Eukaryota, Metazoa, Chordata, Actinopteri, Siluriformes, Trichomycteridae. The transcript has 3 exons. The record is from RefSeq and is a predicted model, not a curated record.